AAAAAAGGUCUUUACCACAACACCGAUGACUUCCGUUCGCGGAAGCUGUCGGUUGGACACCGUUCCCCUCUCUCUGUACAGGGAGGAGGGACAUCUGUGAACCAUCGUUUAAUCGUCUGUGGGUGGUCUUCGGACCUUUGAGGCGCUGCGCGGCUAACCCCGCGUGCCUACCCAGCGACUUCUGACUAACCUCUAAUGCUUUGUAUUUCGUGAAUCGUUCUUCUUCUGAAGGACAAACUCAUUA
Molecule: unclassified non-coding RNA, 244 nt
Filed under: uncultured fungus
Lineage: Eukaryota; Fungi
Description: sequence contains ITS1
Source: RNAcentral